UACGGAGGGGGCUAGCGUUAUUCGGAAUUACUGGGCGUAAAGCGCACGUAGGCGUAUCUGCAAGUCAGAGGUGAAAUCCCAGGGCUCAACCUUGGAACUGCCUUUGAAACUGCGGGUCUUGAGUUCGAGAGAGGUGAGUGGAAUUCCGAGUGUAGAGGUGACAUUCGUGGAUAUUCGGAUGAACACCAGUGGCGAAGGCGGCUCACUGGCUCGAUACUGCCGCUGAGGUGCGAAAGCGUGGGGAGCAAACAGG
This 253-nucleotide ribosomal RNA is filed under the name uncultured bacterium. RNAcentral's name for it is "partial 16S ribosomal RNA". It matches the Rfam family "Bacterial small subunit ribosomal RNA", at positions 524 to 776 of the family's 1533-position model. The record is from RNAcentral.